Molecule: ribosomal RNA, 492 nt
Filed under: uncultured bacterium
Lineage: Bacteria
Description: partial 16S ribosomal RNA
Rfam family: Bacterial small subunit ribosomal RNA
Source: RNAcentral
AGUGAACGCUGGCGGUAGGCCUAACACAUGCAAGUCGAACGGCAGCGCAGUAAGAGCUUGCUCUUACGGGUGGCGAGUGGCGGACGGGUGAGGAAUACAUCGGAAUCUACUUUUUCGUGGGGGAUAACGUAGGGAAACUUACGCUAAUACCGCAUACGACCUACGGGUGAAAGCAGGGGAUCUUCGGACCUUGCGCGAUUGAAUGAGCCGAUGUCGGAUUAGCUAGUUGGCGGGGUAAAGGCCCACCAAGGCGACGAUCCGUAGCUGGUCUGAGAGGAUGAUCAGCCACACUGGAACUGAGACACGGUCCAGACUCCUACGGGAGGCAGCAGUGGGGAAUAUUGGACAAUGGGGGCAAGCCUGAUCCAGCCAUACCGCGUGGGUGAAGAAGGCCUUCGGGUUGUAAAGCCCUUUUGUUGGGAAAGAAAAGCAGCAGGUUAAUACCCCGCUGUUCUGACGGUACCCAAAGAAUAAGCACCGGCUAACUUCGUG